UAUCGCCGGUCAUUGAUCGGUGAGGAGCCCCGGUUUGGGCAUCGUGGUGGGAGUUCUCAUCUCACGGGUGGAGGGUUUGUUUUUAUUCGUUACGGAAAUGAACGUGUGAAUGAACGCGAGGGGAAGGACUGGCACGCAUCUCCUCAAGGCAUUUCAUGACCCAACUGAAUAACAUCAUCAGUGCUACUAAGGAGUGAGGUUUGCUUUGGAAUUAUUUAAAUUUCCUACAGCAUGGCAUUACUUUCCUGCAAUAUUUUAUCUCUGGUCAGCUUUUCUCUCUACAGCAGGGAAAAAUGAUGUUGCAAUCCCAUUUUGGGACAGCUGAAGAAAACAGAACCCUGGUGAUGGAAAGCAGCAUCCCUGGCCCAUCAUUGUGGAACAAAGCCAACUCUUCUUUGGAAACAAGUUUAUUGAUUGAAAUCCAAAUUCGGGAUUAAACACACACAAAAAAAUCUGGAGGAAAGGAGA
Long non-coding RNA from Ahaetulla prasina, 468 nucleotides. RefSeq lists it as uncharacterized. The transcript has 3 exons. Lineage: Eukaryota; Metazoa; Chordata; Lepidosauria; Squamata; Colubridae. The record is from RefSeq and is a predicted model, not a curated record.